UUUGUACUCCCUCCUUCCGGAAUACUUGUGGUGGAAUGAAUGUAUCUAGACGUAUUUUAGUUGUUGAUACAUCCAUUUUUAUCCAUUUUUCCAACAAGUAUUUUCGGACGGAGGAAGUAUAUC
Molecule: non-coding RNA, 123 nt
Organism: Triticum urartu
Lineage: Eukaryota; Viridiplantae; Streptophyta; Magnoliopsida; Poales; Poaceae
Source: Rfam